RNAcentral lists this ribosomal RNA (501 nucleotides) under uncultured bacterium. RNAcentral describes it as "partial 16S ribosomal RNA". It matches the Rfam family "Bacterial small subunit ribosomal RNA", at positions 30 to 523 of the family's 1533-position model. The record is from RNAcentral.
AUUGAACGCUGGCGGCAGGCUUAACACAUGCAAGUCGAGCGGGGGAAGGUAGCUUGCUACCGGACCUAGCGGCGGACGGGUGAGUAAUGCUUAGGAAUCUGCCUAUUAGUGGGGGACAACAUCUCGAAAGGGAUGCUAAUACCGCAUACGUCCUACGGGAGAAAGCAGGGGAUCUUCGGACCUUGCGCUAAUAGAUGAGCCUAAGUCGGAUUAGCUAGUUGGUGGGGUAAAGGCCUACCAAGGCGACGAUAUGUAGCGGGUCUGAGAGGAUGAUCCGCCACACUGGGACUGAGACACGGCCCAGACUCCUACGGGAGGCAGCAGUGGGGAAUAUUGGACAAUGGGGGGAACCCUGAUCCAGCCAUGCCGCGUGUGUGAAGAAGGCCUUAUGGUUGUAAAGCACUUUAAGCGAGGAGGAGGCUACUUUAGUUAAUACCUAGAGAUAGUGGACGUUACUCGCGGAAUAAGCACCGGCUAACUCUGUGCCAGCAGCCGCCGUAA